This 66-nucleotide transfer RNA is filed under the name Hydaropsis longirostris. Its description in RNAcentral is "tRNA-Ile". The record is from RNAcentral. Lineage: Eukaryota; Metazoa; Arthropoda; Insecta; Hemiptera; Coreidae. RNAcentral also lists the same sequence under 1 other name.
AAUAAGGUGCCUGAACUUAAAGGGCUAUCUUGAUAGGAUAGAUUAUGCAAGAAGUUGCUCUUAUUA